AGUGAACGCUGGCGGUAGGCCUAACACAUGCAAGUCGAACGGCAGCACAGUAAGAGCUUGCUCUUACGGGUGGCGAGUGGCGGACGGGUGAGGAAUACAUCGGAAUCUACUUUUUCGUGGGGGAUAACGUAGGGAAACUUACGCUAAUACCGCAUACGACCUACGGGUGAAAGCAGGGGAUCUUCGGACCUUGCGCGAUUGAAUGAGCCGAUGUCGGAUUAGCUAGUUGGCGGGGUAAAGGCCCACCAAGGCGACGAUCCGUAGCUGGUCUGAGAGGAUGGUCAGCCACACUGGAACUGAGACACGGUCCAGACUCCUACGGGAGGCAGCAGUGGGGAAUAUUGGACAAUGGGCGCAAGCCUGGUCCAGCCAUACCGCGUGGGUGAAGAAGGCCUUCGGGUUGUAAAGCCCUUUUGUUGGGAAAGAAAAGCAGCAGGUUAAUACCCCGCUGUUCUGACGGUACCCAAAGAAUAAGCACCGGCUAACUUCGUG
RNAcentral lists this ribosomal RNA (492 nucleotides) under uncultured bacterium. Its description in RNAcentral is "partial 16S ribosomal RNA". It matches the Rfam family "Bacterial small subunit ribosomal RNA", at positions 29 to 507 of the family's 1533-position model. The record is from RNAcentral.